ACGGAUGGUCAUGCGUCGCAUUAGCUAGUUGGCGGGGUAACGGCCCACCAAGGCGACGAUGCGUAGGGGUUCUGAGAGGAAGGUCCCCCACACUGGUACUGAGACACGGACCAGACUCCUACGGGAGGCAGCAGUGAGGAAUAUUGGUCAAUGGCCGCAGGGCUGAACCAGCCAAGUCGCGUGAGGGAUGACGGUCCUAUGGAUUGUAAACCUCUUUUGUCAGGGAGCAAAGGGCGCCACGUGUGGCGCUUUGCGAGUACCUGAAGAAAAAGCAUCGGCUAACUCCGUGCCAGCAGCCGCGGUAAUACGGAGGAUGCGAGCGUUAUCCGGAUUUAUUGGGUUUAAAGGGUGCGCAGGCGGAAUGUCAAGUCAGCGGUAAAAUUUCGGGGCUCAACCCCGUCGUGCCGUUGAAACUGGCGUUCUUGAGUGAGCGAGAAGUAUGCGGAAUGCGUGGUGUAGCGGUGAAAUGCAUAGAUAUCACGCAGAACUCCGAUUGCGAAGGCAGCAUACCGGCGCUCAACUGACGCUCAUGCACGAAAGCGUGGGUAUCGAACAGGAUUAGAUACCCUGGUAGUCCACGCAGU
RNAcentral lists this ribosomal RNA (584 nucleotides) under uncultured bacterium. RNAcentral describes it as "bacterial SSU rRNA". It matches the Rfam family "Bacterial small subunit ribosomal RNA", at positions 221 to 803 of the family's 1533-position model. The record is from RNAcentral.